AACGAACGCUGGCGGCAUGCCUAACACAUGCAAGUCGAACGAGACCUUCGGGUCUAGUGGCUCACGGGUUCGUAACGCGUGGGAACCUGCCCUUAGGUUCGGCAUACCUCCCCGAAAGGGGUGCUAAUAACGGAUACUGUCUUCGGACCAAAGAUUUAUCGCGUUUGGAUGGGCCGGCGUUUGUUUCGUUGGUUGGUUGGGUAACAGCCUACCAAGGCGAGGAUCCAUAGCUGGACUGAGAGGAUGACCAGCCACACUGGGACUGAGACACGGCCCAGACACGUAAGGGAGGAAGCAGUGGGGAAGAAUGGACAACGGGAGAAAGCCUGAUCAAGCAAUGCCGCGGGAGUGAUGAAGGACUUAGGGUUGUAAAGCUCUUUUACCCGGGAUGAUAAUGACAGUACCGGGAGAAUAAGCUCCGGCUAACUCCGUG
Molecule: ribosomal RNA, 433 nt
Filed under: uncultured bacterium
Lineage: Bacteria
Description: partial 16S ribosomal RNA
Rfam family: Bacterial small subunit ribosomal RNA
Source: RNAcentral